RNAcentral lists this ribosomal RNA (253 nucleotides) under uncultured bacterium. RNAcentral describes it as "partial 16S ribosomal RNA". It matches the Rfam family "Bacterial small subunit ribosomal RNA", at positions 333 to 600 of the family's 1533-position model. The record is from RNAcentral.
UUGGGCCUACGGGACGCAGCAGUGGGGAAUAUUGCACAAUGGGGGGAACCCUGAUGCAGCAAUGCCGCGUGAAGGAAGAAGGCUUUCGGGUUGUAAACUUCUUUUGUCAGGGACGAAGCAAGUGACGGUACCUGACGAAUAAGCCACGGCUAACUACGUGCCAGCAGCCGCGGUAAUACGUAGGUGGCAAGCGUUAUCCGGAUUUACUGGGUGUAAAGGGCGUGUAGGCGGGGAAGCAAGUCAGAUGUGAAAA